Passer domesticus (house sparrow) is the source of this 967-nucleotide long non-coding RNA. RefSeq lists it as uncharacterized. Lineage: Eukaryota; Metazoa; Chordata; Aves; Passeriformes; Passeridae. The record is from RefSeq and is a predicted model, not a curated record. The transcript is spliced from 3 exons.
UGUACUGUGGGCCUGAGAUCCCCUGCCAUUUCCCAGUCUCUGCGAAGAUCAGGCGGUGCAGCUGUUUGCACAAGGGAGCGCACUGGCCCAGCCCCAAUUACCUGGGCUUUUUCCUGAUCUUUACCUUUGACUUUGACAAGCAUUGCCUCCUGAAGGUGCCACCUCCCCAGUGGGGAAUAUUUCCAUUUGAUCGAGUUGUCCCUUUUUUCCUUUUUCAAGUGAUGGACCAAAAGGCUGUUCAGGAGGAGGAACACUCAGGGAGAAGCAGUGGCUCAUUGGCAGCCCUAGCUGCAGGAAGGAAGGCGAUGCCAGACACGGGCACAGGCACAGCAGAUGCAGCCGGAACCACAAGACCUGUUACCGAUGCCCAGGAUGGCCUCGGAAGGGGUUUCUGUCAGGGAACAGGCUGCUGGCUAGGGUUACUGGCAGGCGUGCUUUCUUUGGAGCUUGUCUUCAUGUUGUGCUGCUUUGGAAUCGGGUAUUCCUGGAAGAGAAAACAGAGCGCCUUGGGACAGGAGUUGGAAGACGGUGGCUGCACCUCACACCCAGACAGCGUGAGCAGCCCCUCCAGCAGCAGGAAUGGCCUGGACAGCCCUCUCAAGUGUUCUGUGAAGAGGACUCCAGAAUAACCGUCUACGACGAAGCCUCCUCUUACACUGUAGAUCCCCCUGUCACCUGCUCUCCCCAUAGGCCUCCCCAAGCUGCCUUCAUCCCUUUUUUUAUCUCAGUCUCUCCCAUCCCAGCCAAUCCGAAUUCCUCUAGAGACCCCAGGACCAGCCCAGCAACAUCCAGCCCCUCCUCAGACCAACACAUCCCUCCCUCUGCCCCUGAGCCCUCUGGCCUUGCCCUCUAGGCAACACUGAAGGUGACACCCCACCCCCACCACCCCCCCGCUUGCAGGGUAGGCAAUGGCCCAUUCCUCUGUUCAAAUAAAGAGAUGGAUCUGUGUUGUGGUUUGAAAGCAAAA